CGCAGUAGCAAUACUGAGUGGCAGACGGGUGAGUAACAUGUGGGAAUCUGCCUUGUGGUUCAGGACAACAUUGGGAAACCGAUGCUAAUACUGGAUAAGCCCUUACGGGGAAAGUUUUAAUGCCAUAAGAUGAGCCCGCAUUUGAUUAGUUAGUUGGUGAGGUAAUGGCUCACCAAGACAAUGAUCAAUAGCUGAUCUGAGAGGAUGAUCAGCCACACUGGGACUGAGACACGGCCCAGACUCCUACGGGAGGCAGCAGUGGGGAAUCUUGCACAAUGGAGGAAACUCUGAUGCAGCGAUGCCGCGUGAGUGAAGAAGGCCUUUGGGUUGUAAAGCUCUUUUGUAGGGGAAGAUAAUGACUGUACCCUAAGAAUAAGGUCCGGCUAACUUCGUGCCAGCAGCCGCGGUAAUACGAAGGGACCUAGCGUAGUUCGGAAUUACUGGGCGUAAAGCGCGCGUAGGCCGUUGAGUUAGUUAAUUGUGAAAUCCCAAAGCUUAACUUUGGAACUGCAAUUAAAACUGCUCGACUAGAGUUUGAUAGAGGAAAGCGGAAUACAUAGUGUAGAGGUGAAAUUCGUAGAUAUUAUGUAGAACACCAGUUGCGAAGGCGGCUUUCUGGAUCAACACUGACGCUGAGGCGCGAAAGUAUGGGUAGCAAAGAGGAUUAGAUACCCUCGUAGUCCAUACCAUAAACGAUGAUUGCUAGAUGUUGGAAAUUUAUUUUCAGUAUCGCAGCUAACGCAUUAAGCAAUCCGC
Molecule: ribosomal RNA, 756 nt
Filed under: uncultured Alphaproteobacteria bacterium
Lineage: Bacteria; Pseudomonadati; Pseudomonadota; Alphaproteobacteria
Description: bacterial SSU rRNA
Rfam family: Bacterial small subunit ribosomal RNA
Source: RNAcentral